GACGAACGCUGGCGGCGUGCUUAACACAUGCAAGUCGAACGAGAAGAGAUGAGAAGCUUGCUUCUUAUUGAUUCGAGUGGCAAACGGGUGAGUAACGCGUAAGCAACCUGCCCUUCAGAUGGGGACAACAGCUGGAAACGGCUGCUAAUACCGAAUACGUUCUUUUGUCGCAUGGCAGAGGGAAGAAAGGGAGGCUCUUCGGAGCUUUCGCUGAAGGAGGGCUUGCGUCUGAUUAGCUAGUUGGAGGGGUAACGGCCCGACCAAGGCGACGAUCAGUAGCCGGCCUGAGAGGGUGAACGGCCACAUUGGAACUGAGACACGGUCCAGACUCCUACGGAGGCAGCAGUGGGAAUCUUCCGCAAUGGCGAAAGCCUGACGGAGCAACGCCGCGUGAGUGAAGAAGGUCUUCGGAUCGUAAAGCUCUGUUGUCGGGGACGAAUGUUGAGACCUAGGAACAUAGGUUUCAAAUGACGGUACCUGACGAGGAAGCCACGGCUAACUACG
Molecule: ribosomal RNA, 504 nt
Filed under: uncultured bacterium
Lineage: Bacteria
Description: bacterial SSU rRNA
Rfam family: Bacterial small subunit ribosomal RNA
Source: RNAcentral